AUGCCUAUGCGCUUUCCAUAUAUUGAUCUUUGCUUAGUUACUUUUUCGUUGCCACUAUUACAAUUACUACAAAACUGCUACUGUUACUUUUGCUAUCGUUACUGCUACUAUCAUAUUACUUUGCUAAUAAAUACUUUACUGCAGAUAUUAAGUCUUUCAGGUGCGGUUGAAUUGACAACUCAACUGUUAAUACUUGAGAAUAUUCUUUGGCUCCCCUUGUGUCGAAUCAAUAAAUUUGGGUUGAAUACUCUACCCUCGAAAACUGUUGCGAUCUCCUAUACUUGUGGGUUAUCAAGACUAUUUUCUGGCGCCUUUUCCGGGGAGCAUAGCUCUAUUCUUUGA
Molecule: ribosomal RNA, 342 nt
Filed under: Triticum aestivum (bread wheat)
Lineage: Eukaryota; Viridiplantae; Streptophyta; Magnoliopsida; Poales; Poaceae
Description: partial small subunit ribosomal RNA
Source: RNAcentral